CGGGAUGUAGCUCAACUUGGGAGAGCACCUUGCUUUGGGUGCAGGCCGUUGCACGUUCAAAUCGUGUCAUCCCGACCA
RNAcentral lists this transfer RNA (78 nucleotides) under Mycobacterium avium. Its description in RNAcentral is "tRNA-Pro". It matches the Rfam family "tRNA". From Rfam's summary of the family: Transfer RNA (tRNA) molecules are approximately 80 nucleotides in length. Their secondary structure includes four short double-helical elements and three loops (D, anti-codon, and T loops). Further hydrogen bonds mediate the characteristic L-shaped molecular structure. tRNAs have two regions of fundamental functional importance: the anti-codon, which is responsible for specific mRNA codon recognition, and the 3' end, to which the tRNAs corresponding amino acid is attached (by aminoacyl-tRNA synthetases). tRNAs cope with the degeneracy of the genetic code in two manners: having more than one tRNA (with a specific anti-codon) for a particular amino acid; and 'wobble' base-pairing, i.e. permitting non-standard base-pairing at the 3rd anti-codon position. The record is from RNAcentral. RNAcentral also lists the same sequence under 1 other name. Lineage: Bacteria; Bacillati; Actinomycetota; Actinomycetes; Mycobacteriales; Mycobacteriaceae.